Molecule: ribosomal RNA, 1306 nt
Filed under: Bacillus paramycoides
Lineage: Bacteria; Bacillati; Bacillota; Bacilli; Caryophanales; Bacillaceae
Description: bacterial SSU rRNA
Source: RNAcentral
AGCGAAUGGAUUAAGAGCUUGCUCUUAUGAAGUUAGCGGCGGACGGGUGAGUAACACGUGGGUAACCUGCCCAUAAGACUGGGAUAACUCCGGGAAACCGGGGCUAAUACCGGAUAACAUUUUGAACCGCAUGGUUCGAAAUUGAAAGGCGGCUUCGGCUGUCACUUAUGGAUGGACCCGCGUCGCAUUAGCUAGUUGGUGAGGUAACGGCUCACCAAGGCAACGAUGCGUAGCCGACCUGAGAGGGUGAUCGGCCACACUGGGACUGAGACACGGCCCAGACUCCUACGGGAGGCAGCAGUAGGGAAUCUUCCGCAAUGGACGAAAGUCUGACGGAGCAACGCCGCGUGAGUGAUGAAGGCUUUCGGGUCGUAAAACUCUGUUGUUAGGGAAGAACAAGUGCUAGUUGAAUAAGCUGGCACCUUGACGGUACCUAACCAGAAAGCCACGGCUAACUACGUGCCAGCAGCCGCGGUAAUACGUAGGUGGCAAGCGUUAUCCGGAAUUAUUGGGCGUAAAGCGCGCGCAGGUGGUUUCUUAAGUCUGAUGUGAAAGCCCACGGCUCAACCGUGGAGGGUCAUUGGAAACUGGGAGACUUGAGUGCAAAAAAGGAAAGUGGAAUUCCAUGUGUAGCGGUGAAAUGCGUAGAGAUAUGGAGGAACACCAGUGGCGAAGGCAACUUUCUGGUCUGUAACUGACACUGAGGCGCGAAAGCGUGGGGAGCAAACAGGAUUAGAUACCCUGGUAGUCCACGCCGUAAACGAUGAGUGYUAAGUGUUAGAGGGUUUCCGCCCUUUAGUGCUGAAGUUAACGCAUUAAGCACUCCGCCUGGGGAGUACGGCCGCAAGGCUGAAACUCAAAGGAAUUGACGGGGGCCCGCACAAGCGGUGGAGCAUGUGGUUUAAUUGGAAGCAACGCGAAGAACCUUACCAGGUCUUGACAUCCUUUGACAACCCUAGAGAUAGGGCUUCUCCUUCGGGAGCAGAGUGACAGGUGGUGCAUGGUUGUCGUCAGCUCGUGUCGUGAGAUGUUGGGUUAAGUCCCGCAACGAGCGCAACCCUUGAUUUUAGUUGCCAUCAUUUAGUUGGGCACUUUAAGGUGACUGCCGGUGACAAACCGGAGGAAGGUGGGGAUGACGUCAAAUCAUCAUGCCCCUUAUGACCUGGGCUACACACGUGCUACAAUGGACGGUACAAAGAGCUGCAAGACCGCGAGGUGGAGCUAAUCUCAUAAAACCGUUUUCAGUUCGGAUUGUAGGCUGCAACUUGCCUACAUGAAGCUGGAAUCGCUAGUAAUCGCGGAUCAG